Molecule: ribosomal RNA, 730 nt
Filed under: uncultured bacterium
Lineage: Bacteria
Description: bacterial SSU rRNA
Rfam family: Bacterial small subunit ribosomal RNA
Source: RNAcentral
AACAGGAUUAGAUACCCUGGUAGUCCACGCCGUAAACGAUGUCAACUAGCCGUUGGGAUCCUUGAGAUCUUAGUGGCGCAGCUAACGCAUUAAGUUGACCGCCUGGGGAGUACGGCCGCAAGGUUAAAACUCAAAUGAAUUGACGGGGGCCCGCACAAGCGGUGGAGCAUGUGGUUUAAUUCGAUGCAACGCGAAGAACCUUACCUACUCUUGACAUCCACGGAAUUCGGCAGAGAUGCCUUAGUGCCUUCGGGAACCGUGAGACAGGUGCUGCAUGGCUGUCGUCAGCUCGUGUUGUGAAAUGUUGGGUUAAGUCCCGCAACGAGCGCAACCCUUAUCCUUUGUUGCCAGCGAUUCGGUCGGGAACUCAAAGGAGACUGCCGGUGAUAAACCGGAGGAAGGUGGGGAUGACGUCAAGUCAUCAUGGCCCUUACGAGUAGGGCUACACACGUGCUACAAUGGCGCAUACAAAGAGAAGCGACCUCGCGAGAGCAAGCGGACCUCAUAAAGUGCGUCGUAGUCCGGAUCGGAGUCUGCAACUCGACUCCGUGAAGUCGGAAUCGCUAGUAAUCGUGGAUCAGAAUGCCACGGUGAAUACGUUCCCGGGCCUUGUACACACCGCCCGUCACACCAUGGGAGUGGGUUGCAAAAGAAGUAGGUAGCUUAACCUCCGGGAGGGCGCUUACCACUUUGUGAUUCAUGACUGGGGUGAAGUCGUAACAAGGUAACC